GACGAACGCUGGCGGCGUGCCUAAUACAUGCAAGUUGAGCGCUGAAGGUUGGUACUUGUACCAACUGGAUGAGCAGCGAACGGGUGAGUAACGCGUGGGGAAUCUGCCUUUGGGCGGGGGACAACAUUUGGAAACGAAUGCUAAUACCGCAUAAAAACUUUAAACACAAGUUUUAAGUUUGAAAGAUGCAAUUGCAUCACUCAAAGAUGAUCCCGCGUUGUAUUAGCUAGUUGGUGAGGUAAAGGCUCACCAAGGCGAUGAUACAUAGCCGACCUGAGAGGGUGAUCGGCCACAUUGGGACUGAGACACGGCCCAAACUCCUACGGGAGGCAGCAGUAGGGAAUCUUCGGAAAUGGACGAAAGUCUGACCGAGCAACGCCGCGUGAGUGAAGAAGGUUUUCGGAUCGUAAAACUCUGUUGGUAGAGAAGAACGUUGGUGAGAGUGGAAAGCUCAUCAAGUGACGGUAACUACCCAGAAAGGGACGGCUAACUACGUG
RNAcentral lists this ribosomal RNA (497 nucleotides) under uncultured bacterium. Its description in RNAcentral is "partial 16S ribosomal RNA". It matches the Rfam family "Bacterial small subunit ribosomal RNA", at positions 28 to 507 of the family's 1533-position model. The record is from RNAcentral.